Molecule: long non-coding RNA, 100 nt
Organism: Leopardus geoffroyi (Geoffroy's cat)
Lineage: Eukaryota; Metazoa; Chordata; Mammalia; Carnivora; Felidae
Exons: 3
Source: RefSeq, a predicted model, not a curated record
GAAAGAUUUUAUUUUUAAUAAUCUCCACACCCAACAUGGGGCUUGAACUCACAACCCCAAGAUCAAGAAUUGUACACUCCACUGACCAAGCCCGUCAGGC